Non-coding RNA from Camelina sativa (false flax), 388 nucleotides. NCBI's taxonomy places the organism in Eukaryota, Viridiplantae, Streptophyta, Magnoliopsida, Brassicales, Brassicaceae. The record is from RefSeq and is a predicted model, not a curated record.
CCACUUUUACAAUAUUUUUAUUUUAAAAAAGCUUUAGAACACCCAACAUGUUUUACCGAUAAAGGUGGCCUUAAUAUUUAUACAAAAAUCAAAGAUAGAAUAUGCAUUAUGAGUAAAGAUAUCAGAUAACGUGGGUGCUUCACUUAUUUGCCAGCGCAGUCGUUGACUAGGUUUGAUCUAGAGAGGCGACGCGCCUCUAUGCUUUGAUCAUGAGACUUCUUUGUGACCAUGAGACUUUGACCACAGUGGUGUAUAUUAAAUAGGCUUAAAUUUACCUAAGGUGUAUAUUAAUUAUGUAGUAUCAGACUACAAUAUAUCCACAUUUACGUGCAUUAACUUCCUCUAUCUUUUUUAAAAUAAAGAAAAAAGAAAAUGUGAACAUGCCAAA